GACGAACGCUGGCGGCGUGCUUAACACAUGCAAGUCGAACGGAAAGGCCCUUCGGGGUACUCGAGUGGCGAACGGGUGAGUAACACGUGGGUGAUCUGCCCUGCACUUUGGGAUAAGCCUGGGAAACUGGGUCUAAUACCGAAUAGGACCACGCGCUUCAUGGUGUGUGGUGGAAAGCUUUUGCGGUGUGGGAUGGGCCCGCGGCCGAUCAGCUUGUUGGUGGGGUAACGGCCUACCAAGGCGACGACGGGUAGCCGGCCUGAGAGGGUGACCGGCCACACUGGGACUGAGAUACGGCCCAGACUCCUACGGGAGGCAGCAGUGGGGAAUAUUGCCCAAUGGGCGCAAGCCUGAUGCAGCGACGCCGCGUGAGGGAUGACGGCCUUCGGGUUGUAAACCUCUUUCACCAGGGACGAAGCGUAAGUGACGGUACCUGGAGAAGAAGCACCGGCCAACUACGUG
RNAcentral lists this ribosomal RNA (462 nucleotides) under uncultured bacterium. RNAcentral describes it as "partial 16S ribosomal RNA". It matches the Rfam family "Bacterial small subunit ribosomal RNA", at positions 28 to 507 of the family's 1533-position model. The record is from RNAcentral.